GGGGAAUUUUCCGCAAUGGGCGCAAGCCUGACGGAGCAACGCCGCGUGAGGGAGGAAGGCCUGUGGGUUGUAAACCUCUUUUCUCAAGGAAGAACACAAUGACGGUACUUGAGGAAUCAGCAUCGGCUAACUCCGUGCCAGCAGCCGCGGUAAGACGGAGGAUGCAAGCGUUAUCCGGAAUUAUUGGGCGUAAAGCGUCCGUAGGUGGUUAUAAAAGUCUGUUGUUAAAGCCCACAGCUCAACUGUGGAUCGGCAAUGGAAACUGUAUGACUUGAGUGUGGUAGGGGUAGAGGGAAUUCCUAGUGUAGCGGUGAAAUGCGUAGAUAUUAGGAAGAACACCAGUGGCGAAGGCGCUCUACUGGGCCAUAACUGACACUGAUGGACGAAAGCUAGGGGAGCGAAAGGGAUUA
This 410-nucleotide ribosomal RNA is filed under the name uncultured cyanobacterium. RNAcentral describes it as "bacterial SSU rRNA". It matches the Rfam family "Bacterial small subunit ribosomal RNA", at positions 356 to 780 of the family's 1533-position model. Lineage: Bacteria; Bacillati; Cyanobacteriota. The record is from RNAcentral.